RNAcentral lists this ribosomal RNA (470 nucleotides) under uncultured Pseudomonadota bacterium. RNAcentral's name for it is "bacterial SSU rRNA". It matches the Rfam family "Bacterial small subunit ribosomal RNA", at positions 8 to 522 of the family's 1533-position model. The record is from RNAcentral. Lineage: Bacteria; Pseudomonadati; Pseudomonadota.
AGAGUUUGAUCAUGGCUCAGAGCGAACGCUGGCGGCAGGCCUAACACAUGCAAGUCGAGCGGUCGUAGCAAUACGGCAGCGGCAGACGGGAGAGUAACACGUGGGAACGCGCCCUUCGGUUCGGAAUAACUCAGGGAAACUUGGGCUAAUACCGGAUACGCCCUUACGGGGAAAGAUUUAUUGCCGAAGGAACGGCCCGCGUCCGAUUAGCUUGUUGGUGAGGUAAUGGCUCACCAAGGCGACGAUCGGUGGCUGGUCUGAGAGGAUGACCAGCCUCACUGGGACUGAGACACGGCCCAGACUCCUACGGGAGGCAGCAGUGGGGAAUAUUGGACAAUGGGCGCAAGCCUGAUCCAGCCAUGCCGCGUGGGUGAUGAAGGCCCUAGGGUUGUAAAGCCCUUUCGGCGGGGAAGAUAAUGACGGUACCCGCAGAAGAAGCCCCGGCUAACUUCGUGCCAGCAGCCGCGGUA